UACGAAGGGGGGCUAGCGUUGCUCGGAAUCACUGGGCGUAAAGGGUGCGUAGGCGGGUCUUUUAAGUCAGGGGUGAAAUCCUGGAGCUCAACUCCAGAACUGCCUUUGAUACUGAAGAUCUUGAGUUCGGGAGAGGUGAGUGGAACUGCGAGUGUAGAGGUGAAAUUCGUAGAUAUUCGCAAGAACACCAGUGGCGAAGGCGGCUCACUGGCCCGAUACUGACGCUGAGGCACGAAAAGCGUGGGGGAGCAAACAGGG
This 258-nucleotide ribosomal RNA is filed under the name uncultured bacterium. RNAcentral describes it as "partial 16S ribosomal RNA". It matches the Rfam family "Bacterial small subunit ribosomal RNA", at positions 524 to 777 of the family's 1533-position model. The record is from RNAcentral.